This 119-nucleotide ribosomal RNA is filed under the name Petromyzon marinus (sea lamprey). The record is from RNAcentral. Lineage: Eukaryota; Metazoa; Chordata; Hyperoartia; Petromyzontiformes; Petromyzontidae.
GCCUACGACCAUAUCACCCUGAAUGCGCCCGAUCUCGUCUGAUCUCGGAAGCUAAGCAUGGUCGAGCCUGGUUAGUACUUGGAUGGGAGACUGCCUAGGAAUACCAGGUGUUGUAGGAU